Schizosaccharomyces pombe (fission yeast) is the source of this 1431-nucleotide non-coding RNA. The record is from the annotation of a GenBank genome assembly. NCBI's taxonomy places the organism in Eukaryota, Fungi, Ascomycota, Schizosaccharomycetes, Schizosaccharomycetales, Schizosaccharomycetaceae.
CCAAUAGUACCUCCGGCUCCUGGUUUACACCGAAUCAUUCCUUCAGCCAUUGAAGGUUGAGCACAAUACUCUGGAAUUCCUCGAGUUUUCCAGUUGGGUAGAGUUUUUGUCAAAGAGUUACAUUUCCAGUCAGGUUCUUGCGACAAAACCUCACAUACUACUUGUUCGUUUUCUAAACGGUGCACUGAACAUGUAGAAUAUGUGACAUGGCGGCAGUUAGGAAAUUGUAAAGCAUGCUUUAAAAUGGUAGACUGAAAACUACACAAAUUUUCAAGUCUUUCGGUAUCUUCCGUAACGUCUUGUUCAUUACCCAGCAGAUAGUCUUGACGACUCACAAUUCCAGAACCAGAACAAGAAGGAUCAAGCAGGAUAUGAGUGACAUUUCGGUAAAGAUCACUCUUGGGAUCAGUUAGGGUAAAAUCUUGAUGUUCGAUGGUGACAUUAUUAGCGCCUGAUAUUCCCACCAUUUUUCGAAGUGUCUGCACUCUUUUCGCGUCACGUUCAAAUGCAAAUAUAUGAGAUUUUGGAAAACAAGCAGCUAAAUGAGUAGUUUUGUUCCCUGGAGCAGCACAUCCAUCUAUUAUAUCACCAACGUGACCAGUUAGCCCGGCCAAUACAGCAGCAGGAAAACAAGAUGCCUUGUCCUGAAUAAUCACUUUCCCCUCCUUGUACAAUGAAUUUUCAACUAUAGGAAAUGAUGGAUCGAUGGCUAUUAAGUUUUCAACACAAUCAUCAAUAUAAAAUUUGUCGGGGCCCAGUUCCUCAAUUGAACUGACUUUAUCCAAGCCUAAACCUUGCAAAACCUCGUCUUUUGUGCUUUUAAUGGUAUUUAUUCGAAGCCAGCGAGGGAGCGACACAGGAUUUUUCAAUGCCAGCUCCUCAUGGCUCUUAACCCCUUUUUUCACCUUGAGUUUGACAAACUCGGCGUUCAGGCGUGUCUUGUGACGAAGAAUGCAUUCCUUGAUAGGACCAUUUGAAAUGGAUAACCCUCGCUUUGACAUCAGUAAAUCAUGGACAAGGACUCUAGCCAAAUUUUCUUUUAACUACAAUAACCAGGUUAGCUUCAAAAAAUUACGAAACAACUAUCGUUUCAUUAAUUUGUACCUUUUUCUCUAAAACUAAUAACUCGGAUCGCGCAAUUAUUUCAUCCAAAACAGGUUUAUCUAUAUAAAAGAAGAAAGUUAGUCAAAUCGUUUAUAUUAAAGUUUUACUAUUCUUGUUUACAUUUGAGAGUUUCGCAAACCAAAGCAUAAGUGCGUUUUGGAUCAUGUUUUUUUGAAUUAAAUGCUAAUUGCUUAAUUGAUCCUUUUUUUUUACUUAAAUCUGAAAGUAUGUUGGCAGCAUGAUUAUAAAAAUCCAUAUCGAGGCAAGAUCCUCCUCGGUAUGAGUAGUGGAAAAGCUGCUGCACAAAACUGAGUACCUUACUCAGGU